This 77-nucleotide transfer RNA is filed under the name Ignavibacteriales bacterium CG_4_9_14_3_um_filter_30_11. RNAcentral's name for it is "tRNA-Arg". It matches the Rfam family "tRNA". Rfam says of the family: Transfer RNA (tRNA) molecules are approximately 80 nucleotides in length. Their secondary structure includes four short double-helical elements and three loops (D, anti-codon, and T loops). RNAcentral also lists the same sequence under 1 other name. Lineage: Bacteria; Pseudomonadati; Ignavibacteriota; Ignavibacteria; Ignavibacteriales. The record is from RNAcentral.
GCGCCCGUAGCUCAAUUGGAUAGAGCAACAGCCUUCUAAGCUGUAGGUUAGUGGUUCGAGUCCACUCGGGCGUACAA